AUUUGUUGUGAAUCUGUCAAGUUUCUUUAUAAUAAGUAUUGUUUCAGAAGAUCCUUGAGUGGAAACAGUUGUGAAACGAAACUUGUCUUGUCAGCGUUUUUUAUUGAAAUAUUUAAUAGCACCAAGUUGUAGAUGCUUUAGAGAAAAGCACCUGAGUUUGUCUACUGAGUACUUUAAAGUUGAGGUAAAGACAGUGGAGGACAUCCCGAACAAGAGUGAAAGUUCUUCAUCAACUUUAAAGGAUUUUUUAGAAAUGUUCCUAAUACAUAAGUCAGUAUUCAGUGUUAUGAAAAAGAUAGCUGACUUUCCCCUUAAUAUUGUAAAGAAAACAAACAUAAAAUACUUUAGUUUAUUGUACUUGUUAAUGUCUUGAUUAUAAAGCAAAUCAAAUUUAAGAAUAAGUGACAUCAAACUGUCAGCAUUUGCGUUUUUGAUUCAAAGUUAACUCCCACACUAGUUGAUAAGUUUGUUCAUAGAACAGCAGUGUCAUUGUGAACAAUUGACUGAAGAGAUUAGCUCGGUGGAGUUAUCAACAGAUAAAUGAUAAAGCAGCUGAAAUGCCAGAAGCUCCAGUUCAUCAUUAAUAUGAGAAAAUGAGAAGGAUCCCAGGUUCCUGUUGAGCCCUGUAGCCAGGCUGACACAGAGAGUCUCAGCUUGACUGAUCCAUCUGUUCCUUCAACUCUGAGGAGCAGGGAUUGACAGGGAUGUCGCCCCCAUGGAGUCUGGUUCUGGAGAUUCAGAGUUGACGUCGCUGUAGGAGGACGAUGAAGGCACAACUAUUGUCGUCAAUGCGGUGAGAGACAUGAGGCCCAGAGCCGGACUGGAUGUGGGAGAAACCAGACUUCAGUACGACAGAGGUAACCCUGUCACCACUAGCACUGUGUGAUCAGGAUGUCAAUUCCUGAGACUGCAGGUGGCGAAGAGAGGAUUGAACCAAUCGCAAGCCUAGCUGCCUCAUCACCUGCAGUUGUGGGAUUGGCAGGAGCAACCUCAGUUGCCAUAAAGGCCAGGUAGGAUUUGAAGCGUCAGCCUCAGGUCUGGGUUCGGCCCGUCCGAUGAAGACCCGGAGAAUGAAGACUUGGCAGUCGGCCAUGGCAGUCCGCUGGGGAAGGCACAGUAGGGCACACACAGGAGAUGCUCUUUGGAGGCCCUUGUUCUGUCUAACAAUACUAAAUUCUCAGACAUGUGGCCUAACCAUUGUUCUGCUCUGCCGGGUUCCAGCAGCUGUCUCUGCCUGUCAGACCGACUCUCGACGUGGAACCUUCACAAGACCAAACUCCUUGAUAGGAUCUUUGGAAUCCACUUGGACUUACUUGACUCUUGAUGUUCUGCCAAAUGUCAUGUACCGUGUACAUUAAAAUUCUGCACGAUCUCA
Long non-coding RNA from Platichthys flesus (European flounder), 1375 nucleotides. RefSeq lists it as uncharacterized. Lineage: Eukaryota; Metazoa; Chordata; Actinopteri; Pleuronectiformes; Pleuronectidae. The transcript has 6 exons. The record is from RefSeq and is a predicted model, not a curated record.